AGGGGGAUUGUUGGCGGAGGCCUGAGGGACCGAGUCAAUGUUGGCAGAGGCCUGAAGGGCCGAGUCAGUCCUGCCGCCUGCCAACGUGGAUGCGCUGGAGAAGUAGGGUGGGUUAUACCACUAGAGGUCCCUGAACCUACUGGCGAGACCCUGUCGGAGUCCAGAGUUGGGCGAGGCUUGGUCGAAGUCGACUCGUGGCGCUAUGGGCCCUUGCGCUAGUUUAAGGAAAUAAAGUUACGCCUUCACUAACACCUGCGGGUUUUGGUGUAAUGGUAGCGCUUGAUCCUGACAAAGAAGACCAGGAGAAGAAGACCUCGGUCUCUUCUUCGGCCAUGGGCUGA
Molecule: long non-coding RNA, 341 nt
Filed under: Phoenix dactylifera (date palm)
Lineage: Eukaryota; Viridiplantae; Streptophyta; Magnoliopsida; Arecales; Arecaceae
Description: long non-coding RNA (PDAC_LNC015650)
Source: RNAcentral